UACGGAGGGGGCAAGCGUUAUUCGGAAUUAUUGGGCGUAAAGGGCGCGUAGGCGGCUUAUCAAGUCGGGGGUGAAAGCCCGUGGCUCAACCACGGAAUGGCCUUCGAUACUGGUAGGCUUGAGACCGGAAGAGGACAGCGGAACUGCGAGUGUAGAGGUGAAAUUCGUAGAUAUUCGCAAGAACACCAGUGGCGAAGGCGGCUGUCUGGUCCGGUUCUGACGCCGAGGCGCGAAAGCGUGGGGAGCAAACCGG
Molecule: ribosomal RNA, 253 nt
Filed under: uncultured bacterium
Lineage: Bacteria
Description: partial 16S ribosomal RNA
Rfam family: Bacterial small subunit ribosomal RNA
Source: RNAcentral